Molecule: long non-coding RNA, 705 nt
Filed under: Salvia miltiorrhiza (redroot sage)
Lineage: Eukaryota; Viridiplantae; Streptophyta; Magnoliopsida; Lamiales; Lamiaceae
Description: long non-coding RNA (SMIL_LNC003052)
Source: RNAcentral
AUUUAUGGUCACAUAGAUUUAUUGUUUACUAUAGUGUGAUACUUUUAGAAGUAAAAGUAAUCAAUGAUAUAAAAAAAACAAAAGGAGGAAAAAGGUUUACUAGAAUUUCAGUUGCUAAAAAUUAUAUUUCAAGAACAAAAAUCAUGAAUAUACCAUUAGAUAUGCACUUGAAUCCAAAUAUUUGACCCAUUUAACGAUUUUAAACAAAUUAAACUAGGAAAAGGAAAUAAAAAACGUCCUCUUUGAAAUUAAACGAAAAAAAAAAAUAGUAGUCUUCACAGAUGAUAUCAAGAAUUGUAAUGGAAUACUAAUAGCCUUCACAUCACAGUCCUAACCCCCUUUGAAAAAGAGUGUAUAUCUUCCUAAGCCACCAGAAUGCUUCCUACAAAAUUUAUUAACCAACGAAAUCACUCUCCGGCAACGUACCAACUUCUACAUACCAAAACUUGAGAAGAUGAGCACCAAAGACGAGAAUCGGGUGUCGAAUUUACACGAUUGUGGAAAUUUACACGAUACGAGGAUUAAACGUGAACGUUCAACUGCAUAUUGCUUAAAUAUAUUUACAUAUCUCUGGUGGCCGAAGGGGAGAAUCAUCAUCCAAGCGCGACACCAUCUUCCAACAUCGUACUAGCCAGAGUGGCCUGCAACAACAAAGAAGGAGAAGAAAAGAAUAAUAUAUAUCAUCUCAGCAUAUUUAGAAACAUU